ACAACCCACGUACACACGUCCCACCCUCACUUCCCUUUCCCCAAAUCGCUCGCUACUGAUCCCAUGCCUAUGAGUCGCCGCCGCCGACUUAUUCUUGUCUACGGCGACCUCAAGCGGCAGCCAAGGAGCUGCUCGACGCGGGGAGGGCCGAGGACGAAGCGGCGCAGUGGCGACAACGACGGGCGACCUCAACUGGCAGUAUACUGCAGCGAAAGGAAGAGCUAGACGUGGGGAGGGCGAUGAGCAGGAGCGGCGCGGUGGCGACAACGAUGGACGACGCCCCAGCUCGAUUGGAUUAUCAUGAUCUAAGUAGCGAUGCCGCGGUGUCAUCGUGGUUGGAGGAGACAACUCAUAUGAACAUGCCAAGGAGACCGAUCAUACUACUUUAUGCAAUGAGCAUUUGUAUUCCGAUAACUACGAUGCUUGGAUUUCCACUUGGGACGAAGCGAACACUUAUUCAUCGGUAUUCCAAAUUAUAUCACUUGGUUGUAGUAUCAUGGUGCUAAUUAGAUAAUCUCUUGACUGGUUUUGACUCUACGCCAAUAGUUCAGCAUCUUUUGUUUUCAUAAGUCUUAAAAGGAAUCAUUAAAAAUUGGCAGAUGGGCAGUAAAGUGUCAAACCCAGAGGCCCUCUGCCAUCUUGUGGGUAAAACUGCAUUGUAAAACUAAAAAAUGAAUCAUAUUUAGCAAUGUGCCCACCCUCAAAUUGUUUCUUGUUAUAUUAAUGUGCAGACUACCAGAUUGCAAAUUUUCCGAUCAUGAUAUGUUUCUAAGAGAUGAUGCAUGAUUGCAGAUGGCUACCAAAUUGGAAAAUUAUUAACCUUCAGUAAAUAUAGAUGUACUUCAUGCGUGCAAGUUUGAUGCAUGAUUGCAGGUGCAUGCAGGCUCAGUUUGUGCAAGGCAAGUGUGUGCGUAUAUCAAGAAUGAUUACUUUAUUUUCAGAUGGCACCUGCAAUGCUCAUACCAAGUGCGUGCAUAAAUUAGUAUCAUGUUGCGUGCACAUUGAGCUUAUAAUCUUAUCUGAAUAAUUUGUCAUAUUUCUCACACAAACCCAUCCAUUUAUCUCUCUUUCUCUAUCUCACACGCACUUAACCCAUCCAUUUAUCUCUCUGCUAAUUCUCCACUUGGGUACAAGUCGCUCGAGGUUGCUACUGCAGGAACAUGAUUUGCCCAUCAAUCUCUUGGAGUGAUUCGACCCUUGGAAACAUAACCUGCUACUUCACUCGGCGCAAGGAACUGGGUAAUAAGUUACAGUUUUCGUUUCCAAUUCUGUUGCUGAUUGAUUAGGCAUUACUCAUCUAUGUUAUACUGAUAGUUAAGGAUUUGCUGCAAUUACAGAACUAAGAACUUAGGUUUCAGAAUGAAUAGAACAUUGAUUAUGCUAAAACUAAAAUAAAUCUUGAUCUGCUUCAGAUGCCCACAAACUGUUUCAGAUGCCCACAAACUGUUGAGAGUGAUUGGUUCAAAGGUCAACACAAACAUUGUCAAACCUUUUUUUACGAAGAAACCUUAAUAUUUAAACUGGUUCAGAAACUAGAAUUCUGUAAUACAAUGUACUCAUAUAUGACUUACAUGCAUCUAUGAGCCAUAUGUUCCUUCUAAGUGAUUGUCAGUUUCUUCCUUUCUUGAUUAAUGUGUAUAUGAUAUGCAAAAGUAAACUGUUAUAUAUCCCAUAUGUUCAUGUUUAUCAGGACCCAUCAAGUUGUCCUAUCCAAAUUCAGAGGGUCGAUUUAAAAAAAAUCAGAAUAAGAACUCUGAAGACUUGAACAAUCCUUUUCACAAACGGAUUGAGAUGAAAUUGCGUGCUUUAUCUGAUAGGUUCUCUCAUUUUAAUUAUUAUCAUUGUGUGUUGAUUAUAUGAGGUGUUAGCUCUUCCUGGACCUCUCAUCAUUUCACCUGUAGCUAAUGAAGCUUAGUGGAAAGCAUCAAUAAAUAAUUGUUGGCAUAUUUGAUAAUUUUAGAUAGUUGCUGAGGCAAACAUGCUGGUCCUCAGGUUAAAAUACAUUUUUUGCCUGAUCUUUGUAUAGGUGGUAUGACUAUAACUGAACCAUGUGUUCUUUUAUAUCAUAUAACUCAAUCAUGAGUUUGUUUCAUAUUUUAAACCUACAUGAAAGGAAGUGUGCUUGUUGACGAUGGUUAUUGUUGCUGAAUCCAUAUCCUGGUUCAGACUCAUAUUUUGUUAUUCUUAGGUGGCGGACUUGUACGGCAUGGCUUUGGCUCGUCAGGCAAUAUUGGUCCAAUAUGGGUCUUACCAUCGCAGUGUUGCAAGGCCUAUGUAUUGCCUCGCCCUUUUCCACUGCUCAAACAGUCAUCUACUGCAAAAGGUACAAAGAAUAGGCUUCAGUUUGUUGUUACUCACAACUCACAAGCAGAUGACAAUCUUUCUUUCAGUGAAUAGAGUAGCUUUUACUCUUCCAGUAUCCCUUGACAAUUGACACGAGCGCAGCCUCAAGGAUGUAAGAUUAUUUGUUCUUCCUUGUAGUCUGUGAUGAGACGCAUGCUACUUGUACAUAAAUGCUAAUACAUAUCUUCUUUAUACGUAAA
This is a long non-coding RNA of Triticum aestivum (bread wheat), 2543 nucleotides long. RefSeq lists it as uncharacterized. The record is from RefSeq and is a predicted model, not a curated record. The transcript has 3 exons. NCBI's taxonomy places the organism in Eukaryota, Viridiplantae, Streptophyta, Magnoliopsida, Poales, Poaceae.